GGGACCGGCGCGGGGCGGUCUGAGGGGCGGUGUCCUCGCUCCCUCACGACGCCCUGCAGCCUCGGCACCCAAACCGCUGCUCUUUAGACCCAAAAUAACCCCUGAACUCUGUCAGACUAGGGCUUGCUCUGUUGUGGUCUGUCACUGGGGGUUGUGUGACCAUAUUCCGAGGAUGGGGGGAAAAAUAAUCGUUGUUGCAGUCACAUUUACCUAAAUCCAGCCACACACUGAUGAUCUGAGUGACCAGUGUAAACCCUUCCACUCCUUUAGUUUCCUUCCACUGAGAUGAAGCUUGAAGUGUUCUCCAAAAGAAUUGUGCUUGAAUCCCCCAGCUCAUAUGACUGGAUAACUGAAACAAUUUGAAGUCUGUUUUUACUAGAACCUGAUCACCACCUGACUGAGUGAAGAAACUGAGGACUGUUUGAAACUUCCUUGGACAUUAAUAGGUUGACUGCUAUGUUGCUGAACUUAGUGCAUGAAAGGUCAGCCUUUGAAAAGCUAAAUAAGGAGGCUCUGUUACCCUCCCAGUGGAAGCACAGCUGACCCUGCUGCUCAUGACCCUUGAGACCCAUGUUGGUGCAUGUCCACCAUGGGCAGGAAGGCCAGUCCAAUAACAGCACCAGGCAUUACAGAAAGACAUGGUUUGCAUUCAUCUCUGUAGCCA
This is a long non-coding RNA of Pezoporus flaviventris, 664 nucleotides long. RefSeq lists it as uncharacterized. The transcript is spliced from 5 exons. NCBI's taxonomy places the organism in Eukaryota, Metazoa, Chordata, Aves, Psittaciformes, Psittacidae. The record is from RefSeq and is a predicted model, not a curated record.